Long non-coding RNA from Schistocerca cancellata (South American locust), 4347 nucleotides. RefSeq lists it as uncharacterized. The record is from RefSeq and is a predicted model, not a curated record. The transcript has 3 exons. NCBI's taxonomy places the organism in Eukaryota, Metazoa, Arthropoda, Insecta, Orthoptera, Acrididae.
UCAUCUAACCUGCUUGCCCACCGACUAACUGUACUGUGAUCAACAGCAGCACCUCCAUACACCUUUUUCAACCUCUUGUGGAUGUUUCCCACUGUCUCGUUUUCACAGCACAGGAAUUCUACGACAGCACAUUGCUUCUGACAAACGUCAAGUGUAGCAGCCACCUUGAAGAUAUGCCGUGACGGUGCCACUCACGGGAACAGGUUGAACUAAGUUUGAAAACAAGUGCGAAGGAUGUAGCUUCACACUGUAAAACUUUCACACAUGCAGAAUGAAAACUGUAUUUUUACAAAAAUAGUGUGCAUUUCUUUUGGAGUGACCCUCGUAUAUUCGGCUAAAGAUGAGAUGUGUGUGAUGUGUAAUAGUAAAUUCUUUGUAUUCCUCCAUACUUUUAAUUAUGAGUGUAAUAUGUAUAUUGUGUAACUUGGUUCUGUCUAAUAUUAGUGUGUGAUAACAUGUAUUAAUCUGUUCAUAGCGUCACACUGUGAAAUAUAAGUAGGUUGCAGAGUGAUUGACUGGGCUGAGUGUAGGAGCGAGAGGAGAAGAGGUUGCGGAUUGGUUAACAUGAUGUCUUUGUAGUGAUACAUAGAAUCCAAGUCUCAGAAUAGGGAGGUUGCCGUGUUAGCAGAAAUGUUAAUAAGCAUGUAGACAGAGUGUAAUUUUGUUUGCAAAGGAGACACUUAUUGCAUUUUGUUGUGUGCAAAUGCUUUGUACAAGUUAAUUGUGGCAGUACUUGUUUGAGUAGUGUUGAGGUAUGAAUUAGUGGUAACUUGAGCAUCUUGGUUCCAUUUUUUGUCUAUUAUAUGUUGUUCUUUGCUGCUAUGCUGUUUCAUACUGUGUCACUUUAUUAAUGUUGUCAAAUGGAUUAAAAAGUUAAGAUGUUUGUGCAUAUGAAAAUGUGUGUAACAUAAAAGCAGAUUGGCACAAAGUAUUAUUGGGAGCUUUGUAUGUAUUGUUUUGUUCGACGGAGGGGAAUAGCUGUUGAACCACAUGAAGGGCUCAAUGCUUAAAUAUUGUAUGGAUGAUAUGCUGAAUAAUUGGCUGAGAUGCAUGGUAAGAGACAAUACUGCAUUUGCAAGGUUUGUGUCAGGGUGUUGGACAUAUUGAUCACUUACAGCCUUCAUUAUUAUUUAUCAUAUGAUGAAACACACAGCAUUGCUUAAGCGUCUGAGUUUAUUGCAUUAAAUCAGUCUCUUUCUUAUAGUGGCAUAAAUUUGAUUUCAUUGUAUUAGCUUCAUUAGGUGCUUUGCUGUAUGAGGUUCAGUCAGGCAUGCCACACAAACCUCCAUCACUAGCAUGAGAGGUAUGAUACACUUGCAUUAUGUAUUGGUUAAUUUUUCUUGCAUUAUAGCUGAAUUAUUAAUAGCUGAAACUACAGUGUUCUUAUAUGCUAUUGUCUACGGCCCUUUCAUAUAGGUCACUGUAUGUCAUUUAUUUUCAGUAGAAAUGGCUGUGUUUAUAAGGAAGCAAUCUUAUUAUGUACAUGUUGGAAGGAACAGAAACAAAGGCAAACAUAAAAGACAUUGUCAGAAAACAUGCAUUUACAGGAGAAUAACUGGAACAGCAGUAUACGUUUUAAAUGACUGGAAGGGGAUUGAGCACGAUGCAAUUAAAUGAAUGUGAGAAAUUUCACAGAGUUCCAUUAGUUCGCUGUUGGAUCGUCCAUGAAUAGAAGGUUUUCCUAGGUUGUAUGUGUUAUGUGUUGCAUUGCAUAUAAUUUCUGCCUAUAGUGAAAAAAGAGGUCGCAGAAGCAGCAGAAAAAUUAACAUCAUGUUAUACUCUUUUAAGUGAAACUCUUGUGAUUUGUUUCAGUAAUGUGGUACAAAGAAAGUGACAGUAAGCACUGUUGAUGAAAGAAAAUGACACUUUCUGUGCUAUGGUAUUGUGAUGGUUUUUAUUAGGCUAUAGCCAGCAUGUUGUGGUUGGAAGUGGUGGGUUUACCAAUGGAUGUUUCAGGACAGGUGUGUGCAGAGUAAUGACUAUUUCUGUUGGAUCCAUGAAGUUUAAUUUAAUGAAGUUAUUGCAACAGGUGUCUGAAGAAUUUGUAUAUUUGCCUAAAGUUGAGGCACAAUGUUAUAAACAAAGUAUGAAAUAAAACAUUCUCAAACAUAUGCUUAGAUUUCAGAACGAGCAGUGAAAGUUGGAAAAUUGAACGUGUUUCCUGCAGCAAUGUUGUCAAGUGUAUACACUCAAUGUGAGAUAUGACAGGAAUGAAAGGGGAUAUGUCAGCUACUAGUUUUAUGCAGCUAAUGAUAGAGUGGUGGUGAGCAGAUGAUAUGUUUGGAAGAAAGACACAUUUAAACGUCUCGCAUCAAUGUAUUUGGCAGAAAGCAACUGCUUUCUUAGAUCCCAACAUAACCACAAUCUCAGAAACUGUGACAUAUUUGGAAGGCACAGUCAAUGAAGAUAUAAAUUUCGCAGCUGUGCUAUUGGGAUGACAAUGUAAUUAAAGAGAGUGAGACUCCAGAUGACAGGCUUAGAAAUCAAAAAAGAUAGUGAAGGGACAUUGUAAUACACCUGCUACUACUACUGAAUACCUGGAACAAGGAAAAAGUUACUGGAAACUGUGUGCUAAACAGUGAGGAACGUUCGGAAAAUAAAGACAAGGCAACAAGGAACCAACCUUAACAAUCAAGGGAAGUAAAUGCAAGAUAGCCCAAGACUGUUUCUGUCAUUACUUCCAAUGGAAAAUAGCUUCAAAUCCAACAAGUGUGGGUGCGUGCACAGACACCACAGAUGUCAGCUGUUGUAGGUUGAUAAAUUUGUUGAUUGGGAUCUGAUUGUGUACUGUGUCUGUGUAUAUUGCAGAAACUGUACAUAAAGUUUUUUCUGUUUUUGAAAAUAGUUGAUCUUAAGAUCGUCAUUUACUGUGGCAAUGUUCAAACAGAGAUAUUAAAUGUAUUAUGUAAGAUUAAAUGUAUUUGGAUUUUCCAUUAAACAAAAACAAAGAUGUUAACUUAGUUGGGUAGUAGUACUUGCUGUGUUUGUGGUUUCCAGUGUUGUGAUGGUUGGUAGAGGAACAAGGAUGAUUUGUUGGAUGGUUGAUGAGGAAAUGAAGUUGGAUAUGUUAUUGUGGAGAAAAACUGUUAAUUUAGUUUCAUAGCACUCUGCUGUACUUUCAUUUGUUGCCAAGAGGAAUUUCAUCUUUGUGGACAGAUGACCGUGACACGAUGUUACGGUAGAACUGUUACAUUGAACCUGAGAAUGGGAGCUUGUUCUCUUGAUAUGUGUAUUCAACAGGAAGAACAAUAUCACGAGGUUGAAUGCAAUAAUUCAGGAUAAUAGUUAAAAUUUGAAAUAGCUAGUUGAUUUGUUCAUAAUUUAUCUAGCGUCUCUUAAUUUUGGAAUGCUCUGCAAUUAUAACAGACUGGUACAGGCACAACUGUAGUAUCAGAAUUGCAUGUAACAUCACUGUUUACGAAGUAUAAACCAUAAAUAGAUGUAAACAAUUAAAUAUUGUCCAGAAUUAUUAUUCGAACUGUUGAAAUGUGCUCUCUCUUGUCUUUAGAGGCAUGCAAAUAUUACUGAGCAUGCACAACAUUCAGCACAUCUGGUAUACGAGACUUUUGAAAAGUGAUAGAAAACUAUUAGAGAUACACUGUUAUCAAAUGUAUGUUUAAAAUUGAACUGGAAAACUGUUAAGUGCUUCAGCAAGGACUGUUAGCAGAAUGAUUAUCCUUAACACAGAUGGGUCAUAGGGCAGCUGUGAAAGUUGUAGUCUACAUAACUUUUGAAAAGUUAAAUGUAGCUUUUCCAAGUAGCUAAUAGUGACUCAUAUGAACUUGUCACUAUGUUAGUAAUAAUUUCUUGACUUCCAUUGUAAAAAGUUGAAACAUAGUCCCAAUCAUUUGCAUACUAUUUCUAACUGGUGACAUAAUUUCCCUGCUUCCCGAACCUAUGUAGUAUUAUAAUGUCCAGUUUUCUAAAAAGAGUGAAGCAACAUUUCACAGUGAAAUACAAGAUAUGAAUGAUGGUAAUUUGCAAAUAUUUUCUUAAUAUUUUGUGUAUUUGUCAAGAAGUUAAACAUAAUUAAUACCUAUAGCAAACAUUUAAUGAUGCUUCAACUGUUUCAUGUCAUCACUUUAUAAAUGAAAACUGAGUAAAUAGUACAGUCCCAUGUGCUUUUUUAAAUGCAUUAUUGUUCUUUGGGAGAAGGAGAAUUAAUAUUUUCAUCAGCUAGUUAUGUGAUUAAAAUUUUUGUAUGGCUUGGUUAUGAAGAAAAACAAAUGUUAUGGUUAUGUUAAUAGUAAAUUAAUAAUAUGAACUACACAAGUGAGAAUGUAAUGUGCGAAAGAAAUGCUUCUUAAAUGGUGAAAUUAUGAAGUAAAAGGAAAUUAACAAAUGGUU